UACGUAGGGUGCGAGCGUUAAUCGGAUGUAAUGGGCGUAAAGCGUGCGCAGGAGGCCCGUUAAGACAGGUGUGAAAUCCCUGGGCUCAACCUAGGAAUUGCGCUUGUGACUGGCGGGCUCGAGUACGGUAGAGGGGGGUGGAAUUCCUGGUGUAGCAGUGAAAUGCGUAGAGAUCAGGAGGAACACCGAUGGCGAAGGCAGCCCCCUGGGCCUGUACUGACGCUCAUGCACGAAAGCGUGGGGAGCAAACAGG
Molecule: ribosomal RNA, 253 nt
Filed under: uncultured microorganism
Description: partial 16S ribosomal RNA
Rfam family: Bacterial small subunit ribosomal RNA
Source: RNAcentral